CUGGGUACCACUUGGCAGGGCUGUUAGGAGGGCUGGUCCCAGGCUCCAAGUUCUAAGCAAAGCUUGAGCAUUCAGGCCAGGUCUGCAGCCCAGGAAGUUUACACACAAACAUAUGAGUCAAGAAGAGCUUCAAGGACAGGGUGAGCAGUGGGUCAGGGGGCAGGUAGCCAGGCAAGGGCAAGGCUGACUGGCAGGCGAGCACCAGAAAGGGAGGCAUCCAGACUCCUUGACCUUCUUGACGUAUGUCUGUGACCCUCGUUCCAGGAAGAAGAGCCCAAGGACCGUAGCAAGGCCCUGAUUCUGGGAGACGAGAGAACACGCUGACUUAGAAUGCUUGUCUCUGCAUCCUGGUCAGAAAGUAGAUGGACGACACUUUCAUCUCCGACUGGAUUUUGGUGAGAGAUGGGCAAACCCCGGGCUCUAGGCUGGAGCAGCAGCUCUUGUAUCCACACAAAAUCAGGACUGGUGGAGGGAGCCAUCUUCAAACAUAAAUUUGGUGAGUUUAACAAUCAGAGAUUUGAAAAACACAGAAAUGAACAUUUCUGAUCAAUGACACUGCUGAUCUGAUGCAUCAUAACAGAAACCAGUCAUCAAGGUACAACAAACUGUUCCAAACCACUGAGAAAUGGCUUGUCUGUGGGCUCCCAGUUCAAAUGCUCACAAACCUGGGAGGCUGGUUGAUCAGGGUUGGGAGGGAGGGUCUAGCCAUAGCUCAGCAGCUUCCCUAAGGUUGUUGUGCAUGUCCCUAGCUGGCUUAGUUUGGGCUGAUGUCUUUUACGUGUAGUUCUAGAUGGUUUGAACAUAUUGGCUGUUUCUCGUUUUCUUCUGUUUAAGCGUCUUUUGGCAAUGCACUCCUUGGGUUUGGAAGCUUCCCUCCAAGAUGCUGAGCCCAAUGUUUGGGGAAAGCCAGGGAAACAGAUGCUGGGUCAGUGCUGCUCCCACCUCCUCUGCUCCCCUCCUGAGGGCUCCACUGAGUCACCAGCCAGCAAACAGCCCAUGCGCCCUGGAGCAGAUGGACUGUGGGUACACGAGCCUCUGAACUCUUGGGCAGCAUGGGCACAACAUCCUUUUGGCCUCACCCAAUGACCUGGCUGCCUCCUAAGACGAUGUUGCUGGAUGUCCCCUGCUGACCCCACAGACUGGCUCCUCUGGUGUCCGCUGACUUGGCCUGGUGAGAAGGGCAGGGCCAGGCCCUUCCCUGUCUCGACCUGCAUUCCCACCCAACACAGCAAGCUAUUUUGAAAAAACUUCUCUAUCAGUUCUUGUGAGUUAUUUGUCUAAUAAACAACAUUGUGAAAAUGAAGCAUUCAUGUAUUUGUAUAUUGACAAGAGAUAACCAAUUCCCUCAACAAUUUUACAAUUUCAAAUUAGGAUAACAUCCUUUUUUGGAGCUCUUCAAACAUCUUAGGGAACACACGCACAUAUUU
Molecule: long non-coding RNA, 1427 nt
Filed under: Homo sapiens (human)
Lineage: Eukaryota; Metazoa; Chordata; Mammalia; Primates; Hominidae
Description: HSALNT0169380
Source: RNAcentral